Molecule: ribosomal RNA, 342 nt
Filed under: uncultured eukaryote
Lineage: Eukaryota
Description: partial 18S ribosomal RNA
Rfam family: Eukaryotic small subunit ribosomal RNA
Source: RNAcentral
CCCUUAGAUGUUCUGGGCCGCACGCGUGCUACACUGGUGUCUGCAACGAGUUUAAGACCUUGGUCGAUAGGCCCGGGUAAUCUUAUCAAAAGACACCGUGAUUGGGAUCGACGAUUGCAAUUUUUCGUCGUGAACGAGGAAUGCCUAGUAAGUGCAAGUCAUCAACUUGCGUUGAUUACGUCCCUGCCCUUUGUACACACCGCCCGUCGCUUCUACCGAUUGAAUGCUCCGGUGAGAAGUCCUGGACCUGUCUGCGCGUGUGUCUCGACGCUCUCGUAGCGCGGCACGCGUACGGGGAAGAACUUCGAACCUAGGCAUUUAGAGGAAGAAGAAGUCGUAACA